AUAUCUCUCUGUACGGGAAGGAUGAGAAGCUUCGACCAAGGUUCGAUUCGAGCGUCAGCGAGAAAGCGUUGCCGCAGGCAACGACCCGAAGGGCGAAGCGCGCAGCGC
RNAcentral lists this small RNA (108 nucleotides) under Salmonella enterica subsp. enterica. Its description in RNAcentral is "partial RtT sRNA". It matches the Rfam family "RtT RNA", at positions 1 to 106 of the family's 130-position model. From Rfam's summary of the family: This family represents a bacterial cis-regulatory element known as RtT RNA. The record is from RNAcentral. Lineage: Bacteria; Pseudomonadati; Pseudomonadota; Gammaproteobacteria; Enterobacterales; Enterobacteriaceae.